UAAAGCCAUUUUUCUUUUGUAACCUCGACCAGGCAGGUCUGCUCUGGAUGCUGAUCAACAAUUUAGCUUCACUUGGAUGACUUGGAACAACCCUGACUCUUUCAAGGCUGAGUGGAAAAAUGUUCCCAGCAUGUCGAAGGAAGACCUUGCAGAUUUGUCUCCAGUUCUUAUGGCUGGUGCAUCCCACUGUGCAUUUGAUUCCCAUGUUUAAAUUCUGAGCAGAUAGCAGUCAGCCUUCACCAGAAUACUUUUUUGCAACCCCAUCAGCAUAUCAGAGAGCAAUAUUAAUGCUUUAAAGUGCAAGUCCCAGAUACCCCAGCUCUGCCAGGAGCAAGCAGCAGAGCUAAAGCAUCCAGUGGCAAAAGCCCACGUGUGCUGCGGUGAGUUGGUGGCAUCACUGCAAAAUGCCCGGCUGGACACGAGGAGCUGCACACAAGCAAACAGCCAUGAGCCAGGAAGGAAUACCAUCUUGGAGGGCCCCGUCCUUCACUUCUUCACUGGAAGUUUCUUAAAGGUUGGGGCAUCAUGUCAGUUCACUGCAGCUGCCCUUUCUUCUGCAUUCCCAGGUUAGAAAUGGUGACUUCUCUCCAGCACCCAAACCAUGCCCUCUCCUAAGACGCAGAGAAGUCUGAAACACCCAUGGAAAAGCUGCUCAGUGUUUGGCACAUACAGAAGGUCACACUUGAUGAGGUAAGAUGUUAUUUUCAAGCUUAUAGUCAAGUAUUGCAAAUAAUUACAAAAUAGAGCUCUAUAUUUAUGUAGCUGAAAGUUAUUUUAACUUGCAUUGAUCAAUGCUUGCUUCCAAUCUAAUGCAUGAAAAAGUCUAUCAAGGAUAAUGCUUAUUCACUGUGAAUCUUGGUUAGAAAUAGAUCCUCAGGUGAUACAUCCAUGAUGAGCCAUUUUAAAGAGGGUAUUAUAUGUCUCUCAAAGCCUUUUGGGAGGGAGGAGGGAAAAGGUACUUUGAGACAAUAGGAAGCUGAUUCAAUAGCUGCACAUGAGAAAGGCAGUCUCAUGGUGCAGCCUUUGCAAAACAAGCUGAGCACCACAGAGCUUUUAUGUAAUGCAAAUGAUUUAGAUGAAAUGAGAGGAAGAACUGAGAGAAACUAAGGACAGGCCCAGCAAAGGCUAAUUAAAAUGAGGUGGAUGCAAAUCUUUGCAGGAGUUUGGAAGGACCGAAGUGUUCCAUCCCUGCUGCUGUUUGCAGAGAUGUUUGCUUUCAGAUUGGCAUCAGGGACAGGUAGCUGGAGUGGUAAUCUCCUAAAGAAAUGAAUGCUUUCAUGGCCUCUCUGGGGCCAUUUAACAGACCUACAGGGCUUGAUGAAGCACAGACACAUCUCCAAAUCAGGUACUUGAUCAGUCUUCAUCCGCUAACACUGGCAGUCCUCAGUUAAUAGUUUUUGUCCAAUAAGGUAAUAGCUGAAAGGUGUUUUUCACCCUUCAUUUAAAAACUGUUGUCAAAAUACAGCAUGGGCAAGUGGUUUGCUUUAAAGGGUCACCUGUAUCAUAGUACAUGAGUGCCUCUGCUUGAGCUAGGAGCUACUUCAGCAAGUGAAAGGAAUAAAACAGGCAUCCAAAUGCUACACCGCCCAAAUCACUGCUGUGAAUGGCAGCACUACAUGGAGGGGUGACAGAGUUGAUGUGCAAAAACACAAAGGCAUCUUGGGGGCUCAGUCCAGCUGUUGGUUCUCCACUCUCAGCCCUCCACAACAUCUGCCCUGGGUACUGUGAACAUCUCCCCAGAACCAGGUAUGGAAACCCUGAGUUAAUUGUCACUGAAUGAAACCAUUUUUUUCCUGAAUGCCCUUUACUUAUUAAAGUAGUUCAUGACUAGGAGGGGGUGAGACAGCCAGGAUAUAAUUAGAAGUGCAUUCAUCACUCCUGCUGGUAAUUGUUUUCUAAGAACACAUAAAAAGAGAAUCGAUUGCUUUCUGGAGUGCCUCAUCACGCUGCAGGUACCACUCACAAAUCACAUGGAGCUGGGGAGCCCAGCCCUAUCCCUGGCAGUGUUCAUCUCCAUGAUGCACCCCACUGUUCUGUGUCCAUGGGGGAUGUGGGAGCAAUGGAAAGAAAAAUGAGACCCCAUCGAGAGAGAUUUAUGGGCCUGGGAAGCAAAUGCCUGUGAUGGCAGCCUGGUCCCAGCUCUUAGAGCUGCUUUGUGAACUGCUGGAACUUGGGCCAUUUGCAAAGUGCAAAAUAAAAACAAUAGAAAAUGAAGUAAAUGCGUUUCUUCAGGUUUGGGAUUCAGGCUCCACCUUGGUUGUGACACAGUGCAUCAAAAUACCUUUAUUUUUGAUAACUGACUGCAAAUGAUGCAUUUCUGGAUCUGGCAGGGAAGGGCUUAAAAGCCUUCCUGUAAGAAUGAGGCCAGUUGACCUGUGCCUUGGCUGUUUAUUACACAAAAUGAAAGUGGGUAUGAAAUGCUGCUGAAUCAAACUGGCAGUGCUCUACCAGAUGCAUACCAUACUCUUAUCAAUACCUUUAUGCUUAUGACUGUGCUGAAGAUUAUUUUCUGGGGCCCUCAAGACAAGAGGGGUAUGAACCUGCUUGAACAAGUCCAAAGAAGGGCCACAGAGAUGCUGCGAGGGCUGGAGCAGCUCUGCUCUGGAGCCGGGCUGAGAGAGCUGGGCUGGGUCAGCCUGGAGAAGAGAAGGCUCCUGAAGGGGAGACCUGAGAGCAGCUCCAGUGCCUAAAGGGGCUGCAGGAAAGCUGGAGAGGGGCUUGGGACAAGGGCCUGUAGGGACAGGCCAAGGGGAAUGGCUUUAACCUGCCAGAGGGGAGACUG
Molecule: long non-coding RNA, 2782 nt
Organism: Pezoporus flaviventris
Lineage: Eukaryota; Metazoa; Chordata; Aves; Psittaciformes; Psittacidae
Exons: 3
Source: RefSeq, a predicted model, not a curated record